UUUCAGGAGAGCUUAUUGGACAAAGAUCAUCACGUCGCUGUGGCGCUGGGGAAACCAGAUAUCAGCACAUCUGAAGAGGACGGUGGGACUGUUUGUGAAGCUCCACCCCUUUCGUUCACACUGUUGUGUUUCAGUGAUCUUAUGUCUAAAGCCACGCCCCUUCUAGAGGAAGACCCCGCCUACUGGGAGAGAUUUCAAAGCAAAAAGGAAGCACCUCUAAGACAAAACAGCAGUGAAUAAAUUGCAUUUUUAUAUGUAUAUUGGGGUAAUUUUUUUUUUAACUCUGCAUCUUAAACAAAAUGACUGUUUGAAGAUACUUCAACUUUAUUACUUAUAACAUCAUUAUUUCCACAGUGACAAUGGAUGUUCAUAAAAGUCAACUUCAGGUUUUUUAUAUUUUAACCUUUUUUUUUUCCAGUCAUCAAUUUCAGCAAACUGAUUUGUUUAGGAAGGCACACACCAGCUAUUGAUGAUGUUUGUGCAGCUGUUUUCCCUCCAAAAUGAUGUCACUUCCUGGAGGAUGAUGUCAUCAAGGAACUGGCUUCAGUUAGUUAAUGGGAUAUAAACCACAUUCAGCAGGCCAUUAGCUCGGUGUGUUGGGAAGGUCCUGCUUUUAACAAAUCGCUGCUGUUCGGUCGCAGGUAUGCGUUUCCGCUCUUGUGCCGUUAUUUUAUUUGUGCAGUAAAGUCCCGCCCCUCGCGCUGAUUGACAGGAGCUGCAGCCACACAGCUUGUGAGUUACUGAGCCUGUCGUCUAGAGGUUAAAAGAGCAAAGUCUAUUACAGCAAAGCAGAACGGUCGAGGAUGAACUCAUCGGAAACACAGAUGGGAUCCCAUUCAGAUUAAACUCUGUACCCACAUGUAAUUACAUUUUUUCUAAAGUAGGAAAAUAGAGACUAAGCAGAUUGUUGAGUGAUGUACAUUUCAAGUAGAAAUUUUAAUAUAAAUGAGUUUUCAUGAUGCAAUUUAAUAAUGCACCAUCCAAUUAAAGUCUUGUUUUGGU
Sinocyclocheilus rhinocerous is the source of this 1002-nucleotide long non-coding RNA. RefSeq lists it as uncharacterized. Lineage: Eukaryota; Metazoa; Chordata; Actinopteri; Cypriniformes; Cyprinidae. The transcript is spliced from 3 exons. The record is from RefSeq and is a predicted model, not a curated record.